AACAAAAUAUGUAGAAAAUUCAAGAGAUCACACAUCUCCUCAAAAAAAAAAAAAAGAUGAAACUUGUUUCUCCUUCUUGUUUCCCUUUACCAUGACUCGCCUUUCAAGACUUCACAUUUUUCUCUUCCCUCAACUUUUGUGGUAGCUAUGUAUAUAGAGGAGUUCCCCAAAUCUCUAACUCUCAAGCCUUCAAUCUCCUUUCCAAUGCCA
Molecule: long non-coding RNA, 210 nt
Filed under: Vitis vinifera (wine grape)
Lineage: Eukaryota; Viridiplantae; Streptophyta; Magnoliopsida; Vitales; Vitaceae
Description: long non-coding RNA (VVIN_LNC006153)
Source: RNAcentral